GAAGAAGGUAUCCCCCCUAUACGCAGAUUUCUAGCUUGCCUAUGUGUUGAUAAGUGCAUUCGGCCAAACAAUUUGCGGACCAAAUAAACUUGUUGCAGAUACAGAAGAACAAGGCUGCACACAAGGAGUUGCCUGAAUUGCAGUGGCAGCGGUGUUGUAAUAUGAAUCAAGCUUGUGAAGAAAAAUUUUGUUACUUUAAUGACACACACUUGCAUUCCACAUCCCACAUCGAACCUUCCAGACUCAUCCAAGUGACCAUUUGCAACAUCCUUUUCCGGUCAAUCUGGAUUAUUUCAAGGUUUUCAUCACUCUGGU
RNAcentral lists this ribosomal RNA (315 nucleotides) under Triticum aestivum (bread wheat). Its description in RNAcentral is "partial small subunit ribosomal RNA". Lineage: Eukaryota; Viridiplantae; Streptophyta; Magnoliopsida; Poales; Poaceae. The record is from RNAcentral.